AGGAUUAAUAAUUUUUCUAAAUUAUAUUAUUUCAGUCGUGAUAGUUUAUCUUCAAAAUGAACACAAAAGUCGCCAUUUGUCUGAUCCUUCCGUGCAUCAUCGCACUGGUUUCUUGUGCCUAUUUACCUGGUAAUUAUGGAUACCAACAACCAAGACAGGUAGCUCCUUAUGCAAACUAUGCUGCCAAUAGUUACCAGGGUCUAAAACAGGCUAAACUGUUCAACUACCUUCUCGGAGGGUUAUACUUCUUAAACCUCUUCAAUUUCACCGGAAACAAAAUUGCGGGUUAGAAAACAUGUAUUGAGCAUACAGAAGAGGCUUACAAGCAGUUUUUAUACAGUCAUGGUAAAGAUGUGGACUAGAAUGUCGGAUAUCAAACAUCAUCAUAGAAUACCUUAUAGCAUCGUAGAGUGUACUACCAAGAUCAACAUUAUCUGUACAUUUAUGCCUUUUUUGUUAAGGCAGUACUUUAAAACUGUUGAUGUAUAAUGUUAUACAAUUGUUAAUUAAAAGAUUUUUCUCUA
Mytilus trossulus (common blue mussel) is the source of this 524-nucleotide long non-coding RNA. RefSeq lists it as uncharacterized. The record is from RefSeq and is a predicted model, not a curated record. The transcript is spliced from 3 exons. NCBI's taxonomy places the organism in Eukaryota, Metazoa, Mollusca, Bivalvia, Mytilida, Mytilidae.